GGUUGUGGCUCAGUGGUAGAGUGUUUGCCUAGUAUAUGCAAGGCCCUGGGUUCAAUCCCCAGCGUCG
This 67-nucleotide transfer RNA is filed under the name Marmota monax (woodchuck). RNAcentral describes it as "tRNA.Thr". Lineage: Eukaryota; Metazoa; Chordata; Mammalia; Rodentia; Sciuridae. The record is from RNAcentral.